CCUACGGGUGGCAGCAGUGGGGGAUAUUGCACAAUGGGGGAAACCCUGAUGCAGCGACGCCGCGGGGGUGAAGAAGCGCCUCGGCGCGUAAAGCCCUGUCAGCAGGGAAGAAAAUGACGGUACCUGAAGAAGAAGCCCCGGCUAACUACGUGCCAGCAGCCGCGGUAAUACGUAGGGGGCAAGCGUUAUCCGGAUUUACUGGGUGUAAAGGGGGCGCAGACGGCGCUGCAAGCCAGGAGUGAAAGCCCGGGGCCCAACCCCGGGACUGCUCUGGGAACUGCGUGGCUAGAGUGCAGGAGGGGCAGGCGGAAUUCCUGGUGUAGCGGUGAAAUGCGUAGAUAUCAGGAGGAACACCGGUGGCGAAGGCGGCCUGCUGGACUGCAACUGACGUUGAGGCCCGAAAGCGUGGGGAGCAAACAGGAUUAGAUACCCCAGUAGUC
Molecule: ribosomal RNA, 440 nt
Filed under: uncultured bacterium
Lineage: Bacteria
Description: partial 16S ribosomal RNA
Rfam family: Bacterial small subunit ribosomal RNA
Source: RNAcentral